This 67-nucleotide transfer RNA is filed under the name Haemagogus tropicalis. RNAcentral describes it as "tRNA-Leu". The record is from RNAcentral. Lineage: Eukaryota; Metazoa; Arthropoda; Insecta; Diptera; Culicidae.
UCUAAUAUGGCAGAUUAGUGCAAUGAAUUUAAACUUCAUAUAUAAAGAUUUUUAUCUUUUAUUAGAA